RNAcentral lists this long non-coding RNA (996 nucleotides) under Olea europaea subsp. europaea. The record is from RNAcentral. Lineage: Eukaryota; Viridiplantae; Streptophyta; Magnoliopsida; Lamiales; Oleaceae.
GUAGUUGUGGGUGUAUGAGGCAAUCCCAGAGUUGGGGCUUGAUUCUCGAGUAAGAUUAGUGACAACCUUUCGAGAAUAUUGCGGUAGUCUGGCACUAGAAAACCUCAAUCGAGAAUAUAUUCAGAUAUCUUUAACAGGACACAUGUAAGCAUUUACAUAUAUGAUUGCACUUACACUUUCGGCAUACAUAAUAAUUGAUUUCGAUGACUUUUCCUCCCUUUCCAGUUGUACUUGUGGGCGAUGCUACCACUACUGCUGAAAGAAGAAUUGCAGCCGUAAUUUGCUGAUUUGGUUUCAUUGGAAGAUGCUGCAGAUCAGGUUCUAACCAGUCUCAAUGUUCAAUUAACUGAAAUACAAGAUUGUCCACAGAAGGCGAAGUGAUACAAAAUGAUGAGAACAACAACCGACAUAAGAAAUCUAGGAGAGGCAAUAUAAGUGGACUUCGUCUGAGGGAUUUCAGAGACGAUGAAGGUGGAGACAAAGGGCUUUGCGAUCCAGUCCAAGACUUGCAAUCAACUUCUAGCUUACUAAAUCAUCUACCGGUGAGCAUGUGACUUUAGAUAAGAUAAGAGCUAUGUUGACUAAACAGAGGAAGGCGAUUGGGAUCAGGCUGGGUGAACUUUACUGGUAUUGAACAGAAGAUGGGGGAUUAUGUGUACUGCAUAAAGGAUCAUGUGAUCGAUCAUAUAAGUAUGAUCAAAUGUAGGUUCGAGAAAGUGGUUACAUAAAUUGGGAGACAUAAUGUGCGUGAUGAGUACUUUGGAUUUGGUUGUGUUGAUGGUGAUAGAGAUAUGCAUGUACGUGAUGAUUAUGAUGAUUUGUCCUUGCCCAACACUACAAUAUGAUUAGACUAGAAGUUUCGCAAUAUAAUUUUAAUGAAAAGUGUGUUAUAAAUCCACGUUGGCAAGCAACUGUAAUUACAUAGAGUAGGAGUUGGUGUGUAGUCUUAUAAAGUAAUUACAUCUCAUUAACCAUGUUUCAUACCUCUAUAUAAGC